Molecule: ribosomal RNA, 200 nt
Filed under: uncultured bacterium
Lineage: Bacteria
Description: partial 16S ribosomal RNA
Rfam family: Bacterial small subunit ribosomal RNA
Source: RNAcentral
GACGAACGCUGGCGGCGUGCUUAACACAUGCAAGUCGAGCGGUAAGGCCCUCGGGUACGACGAGCGGCGAACGGGUGGAGUAACACGUGGGUGGACCUGCCUCUAGCUCUGGGAGUAAGCCUGGGAAACGUAGGGUCGUAAUACCGGAUAUGACUCCACGGCGCAUGUUGUGGGGUGGAAAGCCUUGUGUGGCUAGAGAU